Molecule: long non-coding RNA, 1785 nt
Filed under: Homo sapiens (human)
Lineage: Eukaryota; Metazoa; Chordata; Mammalia; Primates; Hominidae
Description: maternally expressed 3, transcript variant 13 (MEG3)
Rfam family: Maternally expressed 3 conserved region 2 (bases 536-640)
Source: RNAcentral
AGCCCCUAGCGCAGACGGCGGAGAGCAGAGAGGGAGCGCGCCUUGGCUCGCUGGCCUUGGCGGCGGCUCCUCAGGAGAGCUGGGGCGCCCACGAGAGGAUCCCUCACCCGGGUCUCUCCUCAGGGAUGACAUCAUCCGUCCACCUCCUUGUCUUCAAGGACCACCUCCUCUCCAUGCUGAGCUGCUGCCAAGGGGCCUGCUGCCCAUCUACACCUCACGAGGGCACUAGGAGCACGGUUUCCUGGAUCCCACCAACAUACAAAGCAGCCACUCACUGACCCCCAGGACCAGGAUGGCAAAGGAUGAAGAGGACCGGAACUGACCAGCCAGCUGUCCCUCUUACCUAAAGACUUAAACCAAUGCCCUAGUGAGGGGGCAUUGGGCAUUAAGCCCUGACCUUUGCUAUGCUCAUACUUUGACUCUAUGAGUACUUUCCUAUAAGUCUUUGCUUGUGUUCACCUGCUAGCAAACUGGAGUGUUUCCCUCCCCAAGGGGGUGUCAGUCUUUGUCGACUGACUCUGUCAUCACCCUUAUGAUGUCCUGAAUGGAAGGAUCCCUUUGGGAAAUUCUCAGGAGGGGGACCUGGGCCAAGGGCUUGGCCAGCAUCCUGCUGGCAACUCCAAGGCCCUGGGUGGGCUUCUGGAAUGAGCAUGCUACUGAAUCACCAAAGGCACGCCCGACCUCUCUGAAGAUCUUCCUAUCCUUUUCUGGGGGAAUGGGGUCGAUGAGAGCAACCUCCUAGGGUUGUUGUGAGAAUUAAAUGAGAUAAAAGAGGCCUCAGGCAGGAUCUGGCAUAGAGGAGGUGAUCAGCAAAUGUUUGUUGAAAAGGUUUGACAGGUCAGUCCCUUCCCACCCCUCUUGCUUGUCUUACUUGUCUUAUUUAUUCUCCAACAGCACUCCAGGCAGCCCUUGUCCACGGGCUCUCCUUGCAUCAGGGCUAAUCUCGGGCCUUGUCGAAGGAAGAGGCUGCAGACGUUAAUGAGGUUAGCUGCUGGAUUCCAGUAUUCGUCGCAUAAGGAUCCUUCUUUGUCUGCGAAGGAAAAACACACUGAUUAUCAUAAUGAGCAGGUUCCCAGUGCCCCCGACAAGCCCCUGCUGGUGUCUCCAUCUCCUGCCAAGCAUCCUCCAGUGCCUCCUCCUGUGGGCCUGGCCUCAGGGCUAUGGACAGACUCCUGUCCCAUCCCAGAGACCCCUCGUGAUCGUGCCCUGGCACGUGGGCCGUGGCCCGGCUGGGUCGGCUGAAGAACUGCGGAUGGAAGCUGCGGAAGAGGCCCUGAUGGGGCCCACCAUCCCGGACCCAAGUCUUCUUCCUGGCGGGCCUCUCGUCUCCUUCCUGGUUUGGGCGGAAGCCAUCACCUGGAUGCCUACGUGGGAAGGGACCUCGAAUGUGGGACCCCAGCCCCUCUCCAGCUCGAAAUCCCUCCACAGCCACGGGGACACCCUGCACCUAUUCCCACGGGACAGGCUGGACCCAGAGACUCUGGACCCGGGGCCUCCCCUUGAGUAGAGACCCGCCCUCUGACUGAUGGACGCCGCUGACCUGGGGUCAGACCCGUGGGCUGGACCCCUGCCCACCCCGCAGGAACCCUGAGGCCUAGGGGAGCUGUUGAGCCUUCAGUGUCUGCAUGUGGGAAGUGGGCUCCUUCACCUACCUCACAGGGCUGUUGUGAGGGGCGCUGUGAUGCGGUUCCAAAGCACAGGGCUUGGCGCACCCCACUGUGCUCUCAAUAAAUGUGUUUCCUGUCUUAACAAAAAAAAAAAAAAAAAAAAAAAAAAAAAAAAAAA